This 613-nucleotide long non-coding RNA is filed under the name Marmota monax (woodchuck). The record is from RNAcentral. Lineage: Eukaryota; Metazoa; Chordata; Mammalia; Rodentia; Sciuridae.
GCUUGCAUUUAAAGGCAAUCUGCCUCCAAGUAACUAUUAACAGCACCACUGGAGACAGCUACCCAGUCUAACUCAGGUCCCAGCAGAGUGCUUUCCAGGAAGUGAAGGAACCCAUGUGGCCCAUGGUGGAAAGGACAGAAACAAGAAGCGCUGGCAGGGCCUACAGAGGGAAGCUAGCACGGCCAUUUGGCCAACAGCCUCAAGGUUGAGGGAGCCUCAAAUUUUGGCUGCCAUUCAAUGAUGCAUUUAUGCAGAGGAACAGGAGGGGCCUUUUCGCCAAUACAGAGCUUGACCUUGAACUAUAUCAUUUUCUAAGAGGCACACUGCAAAACAUUACAGAAGCUGUUGUCAUGGUUACUCAUGGGCGGCUGCCGAUUGUGGUAGUGAAGAGGUUUUGGCUGCCGGGGCUGUACUGCUGAAAGAGAAUGGGGGUUUUGUGUGUGUGUGUGUGUGUGUGUGUGUUAAAACUACUCCUACACACUGGGCAACCUCUCUCCGAGAGAGCUCUGAGAUAGGCAAUGACUAUUUAAUUGUAUGCACUGCUUUUCAUAUUGUAAUUAUAUCACCGGAUGAGGAAUCUUUGAAAACAUACAAUUUCUCAUUUGAAUCUCAU